This is a long non-coding RNA of Oxyura jamaicensis (ruddy duck), 357 nucleotides long. RefSeq lists it as uncharacterized. The record is from RefSeq and is a predicted model, not a curated record. The transcript is spliced from 3 exons. NCBI's taxonomy places the organism in Eukaryota, Metazoa, Chordata, Aves, Anseriformes, Anatidae.
UAUCACUGAGCAGUUUUGCAAGUAUUGUUUUAAAUUGUAAAGUAGUGCUGAGUUAGGUUUCUAUAAGAGGAAGAGGAGUGGAAUAGCAAGGAGGCACUUAUAAAAGUAAGCAGUACAGCAAUGCUGGGAUCUGGGAGGAUUCUGCUGAAGGAAACUCUCAUUCCACAACAUGCCCUUACAUGAGGAAUAAUGUCACAGGCAGGGCCGAUGCUGGAAUUGAGCAACCUCUCCACAGCAAGAAGAAUGCUUGUAAAAGAGGAAUGCUUCGAUGAUGCUUCUUCCAUAGAAGAAUGAAAAGGAGUGCUGGAAUCAAAGCAUUCCCUAAGGUACAAGAUCGAGUGAACUGAGCAGUUAGAG